CGAAUAGGGAAACCUUAGUAGAGCGGCGCACGGGUGCGUAACACGUGGAUAAUCUGCCUGGAUGCCUGGGAUAACCAGUCGAAAGAUUGGCUAAUACCGGAUAAGCCCACGGUUUCUUCGGAGACUGAGGGAAAAGGUGGCCUCUGUAUACAAGCUAUCACAACCAGAUGAGUCCGCGGCCCAUCAGCUAGUUGGCGGGGUAAUGGCCCACCAAGGCAACGACGGGUAGCUGGUCUGAGAGGACGAUCAGCCACACUGGAACUGAGACACGGUCCAGACUCCUACGGGAGGCAGCAGUGGGGAAUUUUGCGCAAUGGGCGAAAGCCUGACGCAGCAACGCCGCGUGUGUGAUGAAGGUCUUCGGAUUGUAAAGCACUUUCGACCGGGACGAAAACCCGUAGCCUAACACGCUACGGCUUGACGGUACCGGGAGAAGAAGCACCGGCUAACUCUGUGCCAGCAGCCGCGGUAAUACAGAGGGUGCAAGCGUUGUUCGGAAUUAUUGGGCGUAAAGCGCGUGUAGGCGGCGUGACAAGUCGGGUGUGAAAGCCCUCAGCUCAACUGAGGAAGUGCGCCCGAAACUGUCGUGCUUGAGUGCCGGAGAGGGUGGCGGAAUUCCCCAAGUAGAGGUGAAAUUCGUAGAUAUGGGGAGGAACACCGGUGGCGAAGGCGGCCACCUGGACGGUAACUGACGCUGAGACGCGAAAGCGUGGGGA
This 716-nucleotide ribosomal RNA is filed under the name Myxococcus sp. 42-mh-1. RNAcentral describes it as "bacterial SSU rRNA". It matches the Rfam family "Bacterial small subunit ribosomal RNA", at positions 67 to 767 of the family's 1533-position model. Lineage: Bacteria; Pseudomonadati; Myxococcota; Myxococcia; Myxococcales; Myxococcaceae. The record is from RNAcentral. RNAcentral also lists the same sequence under 1 other name.